Molecule: ribosomal RNA, 467 nt
Filed under: uncultured bacterium
Lineage: Bacteria
Description: partial 16S ribosomal RNA
Rfam family: Bacterial small subunit ribosomal RNA
Source: RNAcentral
GACGAACGCUGGCGGCGUGCUUAACACAUGCAAGUCGAACGGAGAGGCCCUGCUUUUGUGGGGUGCUCGAGUGGCGAACGGGUGAGUAACACGUGAGUAACCUGCCCUUGACUUUGGGAUAACUUCAGGAAACUGGGGCUAAUACCGGAUAGGAGCUCCUGCUGCAUGGUGGGGGUUGGAAAGUUUCGGCGGUUGGGGAUGGACUCGCGGCUUAUCAGCUUGUUGGUGGGGUAGUGGCUUACCAGGGCUUUGACGGGUAGCCGGCCUGAGAGGGUGACCGGCCACAUUGGGACUGAGAUACGGCCCAGACUCCUACGGGAGGCAGCAGUGGGGAAUAUUGCACAAUGGGCGGAAGCCUGAUGCAGCAACGCCGCGUGCGGGAUGACGGCCUUCGGGUUGUAAACCGCUUUCGCCUGUGACGAAGCGUGAGUGACGGUAAUGGGUAAAGAAGCACCGGCUAACUACGU